ACACGACUACAUUAGAUACCCGUGUAGUCCUAGCCGUAAACGAUACUCGCUAGGUGUCGGCCACGGUGCGACCGUUGUCGGUGCCGUAGGGAAGCCGUGAAGCGAGCCACCUGGGAAGUACGGCCGCAAGGCUGAAACUUAAAGGAAUUGGCGGGGGAGCACAACAACGGGCGGAGCUUGCGGUUUAAUUGGAUUCAACGCCGGAAAUCUUACCGGGACCGACAGCAACAUGAAGGCCAAGCUGAAGACUUUGCCGGAUUAGCUG
RNAcentral lists this ribosomal RNA (265 nucleotides) under uncultured archaeon. RNAcentral's name for it is "partial 16S ribosomal RNA". It matches the Rfam family "Archaeal small subunit ribosomal RNA", at positions 719 to 982 of the family's 1478-position model. The record is from RNAcentral.